Molecule: long non-coding RNA, 676 nt
Filed under: Homo sapiens (human)
Lineage: Eukaryota; Metazoa; Chordata; Mammalia; Primates; Hominidae
Description: non-protein coding lnc-FOXD4L5-10:2
Source: RNAcentral
GCCCAGGUGAGCUUCCACAGCAUCUGCUCCUCAGGAGUGGCUGACCGGGAUGCUCCAGCUGUGUCUCUUCGCCAUCGUGGACCAGGAGAACAACCCAGCACUGCCAGGAACACACGCACUGGUGAUAGGCAUCCUCGUGGUCAUCAUCAGGGUGUACCAUGGCAUGAACACAGGAUAUGCCAUCAAUCCGUCCCGGGACCUGCCCCCCCCGCAUCUUCACCUUCAUUGCUGGUUGGGGCAAACUGGUCUUCAGAACAUACAUAUGAUAGUUGAGAAAGACACAUAUUCUGAUCAUGAAGAAAUAAACACAAGUUAAAUAUGACUAAGCAGAAAGAUGGAAGGACCAGGAACAGUGAUGCUAACUUGGAACCACGAUGCAGGCUCUAAUCUCCUCUACAAUCAUCCUCCCUUGUGAGAAAAAUACUUGAUCUGAAGGUCCCAGCAAGGAGCCGACUCACAGAAGAAUGCAGUUUUCACAUCGUGAUGAUUUAAUCUUCCUUGACCUGAGCAAUUGACAACCCCAAUUCUCCAGAACCUCACCCGCCACAAUCCCCUUAAAAACCCUGGUCCAGAACCCCUCAAGCAGACAGAUUUGAAGCUUGAGGAUUCCUUCAUCUCUUUGCCCAAUGGCAUUGUGAUUAUUAAACUCUUUUUCUGCUGCAAAUUAUGAUGUCUC